CUUGAUAGAACUAAACUAAUGAUAGUCCUCUCUACAAUCAUAUUCUUUUGCUCUGUAGAUAUAUUUAAAGCAGUGAAGUGAGCAUCUUUUAUGGAGGAGAGACACAUGUGAAAGUGGAAACCCUGAAAGUGUAUGCCUUCUAAAAUUUUACGUCGCGUGUGUGUCACUGGGUGUCUUCCUUUGAGUGAAUAAGGAGAACAUCUUUGCUGCUCCAGUCCACAUCAGCUCAGAUGACACUUCAUCUGCACUGGCAAACCAGGAAGUGGAUUGAGCAGUCCACUGUCACCUUUUAUAACAUGCAUCUCUUUCACCCGCUCAAGGUUGGAGUACCCAGUUGUGUCCUUGGAGGUCCUUGUAUUGUGGGACUGCCAGACCUCCUGAGUCACAUGACUCACUGUCUGAUUUCCGAGUCAAGCUUUUCAUUUCCUAAAUGAUAAGGGAUAAAAGAUAAAAUCUGGCACACACAGGUAAUCUUUGCCAUCUUAAUAUUUGUUAAGCUUUUUGAUUUACUGAGAAGUUAAAGUCACUGCAGGUCACAAAACCUGCACAUUAGAUCUGCUUCAUAAACAUUCUGAGUGAAUGCUUUUGUCAUUUAUUUCACCAUCUUUAAACGAAUGUAGCUGAAGAAUUGCACCUCCAAUUUAUAAAUCUUUCAAUUUAUUUCUGUUUUCAGCUUAUAGGAUGGGACCAUAUCCAGCUAGAUCUAGCCAUUUGUGCAUGACUAUAGAAGAAAGCUAACAUAUUUCUUGCAUAAUGUAGACUUGAUCCAGCUUACAUUUGUUAAAUCAUCCAAAAGGAAAUAUUCU
Molecule: long non-coding RNA, 806 nt
Filed under: Chrysemys picta bellii (western painted turtle)
Lineage: Eukaryota; Metazoa; Chordata; Testudines; Emydidae
Description: lncRNA (ENSCPBG00000013102.1)
Source: RNAcentral